Molecule: long non-coding RNA, 5010 nt
Filed under: Homo sapiens (human)
Lineage: Eukaryota; Metazoa; Chordata; Mammalia; Primates; Hominidae
Description: HSALNT0244189
Source: RNAcentral
AGAAAGGCAAAUUCUUCAGCAGACCAACUAAAUCAGAAACUCUGGAGGUGGGGUUCAGCAAUCUGUUUACCAAGCCCUCCAGUGUAUGCUGAGGCAUGCUCAACCUGGAAAACCACCUGGCUAUAGCACACACAUGCUUCAGCCGCACAAUGACCACGCUCCCCUUUCAGCCCAGCUGAGACCCCUGGUGGCACCUGCACGAGAAGACAGAGGCCUGGGACGUGCCAUCGAUAAUUCUCCUGACAUCACAUGCCAGGACGCGUUCAGCACGCAUCUGUCUUAAUCUGAGUGAAACAAGGGAUCUGAACCGUGACUAAGGAAACACGGAAACAAUCAAUCCCAGUAAUUGCCUUUAUGGAGAACAAGGCCCUGCGAUUAUUCAUUAACACCCUCUCUGCUGUCUCCUCUCAAACUUCUCACUCCAUAACCGCUGCCCUUAUAUCCGGGUUCAGGUAGCACCAAGGAGCAGCUGCUCAUCUCAAAUGAAGACGCUGGAGGACUCAGAGCCCCAAAGCAGACAUGAGAACGUGGGGGGAUGCCCUGGCUGAGACCCUCUUAGACACGACAAGCCUUUAGAUGCCUCCCAAAUCAACAUCGCAAAUUCCAACUCCUCUCACAUUUCCAGGUGCCCACUGGCCAUCCCCAACAAAGACCCUACAGGUUCAUCAAACUUGAAAGGUCCAGAAUGAACGCGAAUGUUCUCCCUGACUGUACUGGUACUCUAGAAUUAUCGUAGCCAAUUCCACAAACUGCGUGGCUUAAAACAGCAGCAAUUUAUUCUCUCACAGUUCUGGAGGCCAGAAGCCUGAAACCAAGGUGUUGGCAGAGCCAUACUACCUCUGAAGACUCUGGGAGAGAAUCUGUCCUUGUCUCUUCCAGCUGUUGGUGGCACCGGGAGUGGGUGCAUCACUCCAGUCUCUGCCUCCGUCUUUACAUCCCCUUCUUCCCUCUGGGUCUCUGUGCUCUCUUCUCUUCUUACAAGGACAAAAGUCAUUGGAUUUGGACCCACCCUAAAUCUAGGUAGGUCCACUCCCCCUUCCCUGGAAAACUUCCUGCUGUCAGGUCUUUUUUUUUUUUUUUGGCCAUGGUACUCUCAGCCCGAAAUUUCUUUCCUAAAUCUUACUCAAAGACCAUCUCAAGUACCACUUCGGAAUGAUUAUCCCAUGCAUGCUGGCAGCAUUCUGUUUGUCCCUUUAUCACAGCGCGUAUCUCCUUUGUCACCAUUACCAUUAGCUAUCUGUGUCCCAGGCUCACCAACCAUGUGGUAAGCUCACACUCUAACAGGAGGGUGCCCCCCUAAUACCAGCACCACUAGGAAUGGUGGUCAUCAAAGUCACCCCCCUUCUUCUUUACCCCCCCCCCCCGCUUUACCCAGCUUCUUCAGGUGUUAAAGCAUCUCCUUUAGUUUAGGUUUGCUCAAAUAAUGCUUUCUGUAACUAAGACUUUUGCUUCCACUAGGAAUAUACCAUCUAACCUAGUCAUUCUCAAUGUCAAUGGGGAGACGGGAACCCCACUUUCCAACCCUGGACUUUUUCUCAAAAUAUGCGCUGUUCCCUAAAGAUCCUGAUAAAUGUCCUUGGGUGGAGGGAUUCUAUAUCACCGAGGGAUCUGUCAGGAGUGUGGGGGUGGAAAAAACGUUGGGAACCCUGAUGUAACCACACCUGAACUUGCUCCAAGAAGAGAGACACUAGGGUCGUCAGCCAUUGGCUAAAACAGAAAAAGAUGUCUAAGGGCUGCUGAAGCAUCCCGUGCUCUCUAAGGAACAGUCAUUUGGAAAUGCUGAAUGUCUAAAGUCCCAUUUGGCCCACAGCAUAUGAAGGAAAGACUGAAAAACCCACGGCAGACAGAAUUCUGAGAUGGCCUCCAGAGUCCCAGCCACUGGUGCACACAUCCUGUGUAAUCCUUCCCUUCGGGUGUGAGCAGAACCUGGGGAUAUGAUGGGCUGUCACUCCCCUGGUUGCCCCCCAGAACCUUCAGAGGGAGCACAGCUUUUGAUUGAUAGCAAAAAGACAAGACAGUCAGUCACUCCUGAGAGUGUAUACAAGACUUCACUUUAGAAAAAGCAGAGAUUCUUUUGUUGGCUUUGAAGUUGUGAGAUAGCCACGUGGAUAGGACCCAAGAGAGGUCUACUGGGAACUGAGAGUGACAGCCGGAGAAGAACCAGCUAGAAAACGCGACCUUCGUCCUUCAACCACAAGGAAUGAAUCCUGCCAACCACCAGUGAGCGUGGAAGAGGACCCUGCAUUUCUGGUGAAACUAGAACCUUGGUUGAUGCCUUGAUUUCUACCUGGUGAGUUGCCUGAGCCAAGGACCCAGCUAGCCUGGGUUCCAACUCCUGACCCAUGGAAACUGCAAGAUAACAAACUUGUGUUAUUUUUCUUCUCUUCUCUUUUCUUUUCUUUUUUGAGACAGAGCCUCAUUCUGUUGCCCAGGCUUGAAUGCAGUAUAGCUCAGCUCGCCGCAGCCUUGACCUCCUGGGCUUAAGCAAUCCUCCCGCCUCAGCCUCCUGAACAGCUGGGAUCACAGGCAUGCACCACCACACCCAGCUAAUUUUUUUUACUUUUAGUAGAGAUGAGCUCUCACUGUGUUGCCCAGGUUGGUCUCAAACUCCUGAGCUCAAGCGAUCCUCCAACCUCAGCCUCCUAAAGUGCUGGUAUUAUAGGCAUGAGCCAUUGCACCCAGCCACUUGUGUUGUUUUAAGUUGCUAAAUUUGUGGGAGAUUUGCUACACAGCAAGAGAAAACCAACACAACACUCAGCCUGCUGGCUGCCUUCUUCCAAAUCACCCAUCUGGUUUUCAUCUGAGUAAAGCAUCACCGACUCUGAGGUUCAAGCAAGUGCAAGGGAAGGGGGAAUUGGUGCUUUUUCUGACUUAUUAGUUCCACCUAUGAUGCCACCUGCUUUGUCAAUCAAUGGCCACUGCUUAUUGCCCAGGGUGAUAUUUACUAGUAACUGAUGUCAGCAAGCUUGUCAUUAUCUGGUGUCCAGAUGCAGCAGCAGGCACCUAACCCACAGAGAGGGAGGAUGAUGAUUUAGUAGGAAAAAAAAAAAAAAUACAGAUUUUUGGAGUAAAACAGACUUCAGUUCAAACCGCAGCUUCUUUUCCAACAAACUGUGUGACUUGGGGCAAAUUCACGAUUCCCUCUGAGCUUCAGUUUCCUCAUCUAUCAAAUGGAGACAAUUGCAACCUCAAAGCUGUGGGGUGAGAAUGAAAAGAGAUAACGAAUGUCCAGGGCCAGGCAGCGCCUGGCAGAUGCUGGAGAGAUGUUGGUCCACUCCAUUGUACCCUCCUAGGCAAUGUGGACGAGAAAGCUGAGCUGGGGUCAAAGGCAGAUCCUCCACUAUGAAGAUGCAAGGAUGCAGAGGCUUCCGGAAAGGCAUCCACAGGACACCUGAUGGCUUCUUCCCAUGGCAAGGAAGGCAGCCAAACCACAGAGCAGAUCUGGGCUCUUCCAGACUCACUCUGAAUCCCUGACCUGCUCUGCUGCUGAGGAAAUGUCACCACGUGUCCCAGGCUCCAUCCUUGGCAGCUCCUUCUUCUGGGCAGGUGCCCCUUCCACUGGCCUCUUCUCUGAGCUUUCCCUUGGCCCCCUGCUGACUUCAUGCAGGGAACAAAAACUCUACCAGGAUCUCCGUGAACUCUUUUCUUUCCUAGAUCUAAAGGGUGCACGUCCGCUGGUUCACUCAACCCAAUCGCCAAAACCAAGGCUCAAAGAAGUUAAGAAACAGAAGCAUAAAACAGAAGUUGGGAACCCUUGAGGCCACAGAGAUGACUCUGCUUACAGGCAGAGGGGGAGGCAAAAAAGCACGCCUGUCCCUGGAGCCUGGGGGAAAUCAGUGAGUCAUUUCUGUCCCUCUCCACCUCUUCUUCCUCCUCUGGGCUCACUCCAGGUCUCGAAUCCUCUUUCUCAUGAAAAAUCUUUUCUUUUUUAUCUCUCUCUCCCUCUUCUUGACUAAAGGCACAGCUUGGCAGGGAGAAUAAAGCAGAGAAAGCAUCAUAGAAAAUAUUCACUUAAUUACAUCCAGUGUUUAUUUUGCCCCAACCCCCUAAAAACAGUAGCAGUGUUAGGAAGAAGUCAGGGAGUCAAGGCAGGAGCUCUCCUGUCAUCUCAUCUUUGAUUUUCUAGCUUAGAUCCACGUAAGCCAGAGGAAUCUUAUAGGUGUUGCUGCCAUCUGCUCCCUGCCAUGACCCUCUUCCUUUUAUCUGGUGUCUAAGCAUCUAUAAUUGGCCUUCCAAACCCAACGGAAUCCACCAGGAUGAACCUCUUAUUGAAAAGUGAUAUUCUGGUACCUGUAAAACCUCCAGCACCCAAAACUCAAUGUGCAGAAAAGUGAUGGUGGAACAUUUAAAUGCAGCUACUUGUAGCUUUUGGAAGUGACGGGUGGAUCUGCAGUGGGGAAGAAGAACGCCAGGAAAGACAAGUGAGGUUUCUGGGUCUCUGCAAGAAUAAUUUCCAGACACAAGCCCUCCCAGGUUCAGUGUCGGGAAAUGAAAGCAGCAUAUGCAAAAUGCACGGCAGAACUGAAUUUCCAAUUCACUACAGACAUGCUUUGGAAAACAUGAAAGAGCUAUUUUUGGUCCAGUGAUCGAUUAGGGUUGCUAUGGCAAUAAGAAACACUUACAGGAACAAAAUGAAAUGUAAGCAAACCAAAGUCUUAAAGAGAAAGGGUCAGACACAUUGGGGAUUUCAUAGUCAGUUUCUGGGUGGUGCUGGCAGCCCUUAUUUCUGUCUCAGCACCUGCAUAGGGAGAGAGACGAUAGUGGCUGCAGUGAAUGGGGGCCCUGGGGAUGGGUCUGAGGCUCUCUAGGGCACUGCACUUCAGAAGCAGGAAGUGCGAAACUUCUGGAAGAAUGUACACCGCUCACUUUGAAGACUGUCAUUAUUGUCAUCAAAGGAUACUGUAUUUCCACAGCACCUAGCCUGUGGCAAAAACGUAAGCUAAAAUGUAUUAAUCCUACCCUAUCCCACUUUACAAUGUAAAAGAAAAAUAAAAGUAUUCUCUAUGACAG